GAUGAACGCUGGCGGCGUGCCUAAUACAUGCAAGUCGAGCGAACGGACGAGAAGCUUGCUUUUCUGAUGUUAGCGGCGGACGGGUGAGUAACACGUGGAUAACCUACCUAUAAGACUGGGAUAACUUCGGGAAACCGGAGCUAAUACCGGAUAAUAUUUUGAACCGCAUGGUUCAAAAGUGAAAGACGGUCUUGCUGUCACUUAUAGAUGGAUCCGCGCUGCAUUAGCUAGUUGGUAAGGUAACGGCUUACCAAGGCAACGAUGCAUAGCCGACCUGAGAGGGUGAUCGGCCACACUGGAACUGAGACACGGUCCAGAGUCCUACGGGAGGCAGCAGUAGGGAAUCGUCCGCAAUGGGCGAAAGCCUGACGGAGCAACGCCGCGUGAGUGAUGAAGGUCUUCGGAUCGUAAAACUCUGUUAUUAGGGAAGAACAUAUGUGUAAGUAACUGUGCACAUCUUGACGGUACCUAAUCAGAAAGCCACGGCUAACUACGUG
This 497-nucleotide ribosomal RNA is filed under the name uncultured bacterium. RNAcentral's name for it is "partial 16S ribosomal RNA". It matches the Rfam family "Bacterial small subunit ribosomal RNA", at positions 28 to 507 of the family's 1533-position model. The record is from RNAcentral.